Molecule: long non-coding RNA, 2613 nt
Organism: Salvelinus fontinalis (brook trout)
Lineage: Eukaryota; Metazoa; Chordata; Actinopteri; Salmoniformes; Salmonidae
Exons: 3
Source: RefSeq, a predicted model, not a curated record
UGCACACCCCACUCUAUCCGAACGUAGUGAGAUUUGUGCGGAGCGCUGCCUUGCGUAGCACUGUGGGAGGAGUCGUGUAAGGUGACCAGGGUAAGAUCGUGAAGAGAAAGGGAAUGGGCUCAUGGAUCUGGUGGCCAGCGUUGGAUCCAAGGUGGUUGUCACCAUGGAGCACUCAGCUAAGGCCGGUGGUUCCUGGUCUCCUGGCUGAUGCUGUCCCCCACGACACCCCUCCGCCCCCCCUGGAUGUCGAGGAAGGUCCCGCCUAUGCCGUCAGAUCCCUACUGGACUCCCGACAUCGUGGCGGUUGGCUCCAUUACCUGGUGGACUGGGAGGGGUACGGCCCAGAGGAGCAGAGUUGGGAUCCGGUGGAGGACAUUCUGGAUCCCAACAUAAUCCGUUGGAGCUGUCACGUGGGGUACUGUCACGUCUACUCCUGCUCCUUCCCUCCGGCGUUUGACAUCGCUGGUUUACUAACCACUGGUCCUGGUAACCAUCAUUAUGCGUACUUGGCAUCAAUGAUUACUCGCACCUGUGCUUCAUUAGGAGUCACACCUGGACUCGAUUACCUCACUUAUUACCUCCCUUUAUCUGGCACUCCCUCAAGUUCUCUCCCAAGGCAGAACUGUUUCUGUGUUUCAUGUCAAGAUGCUCAUUCCAUGUUCUUUGUUAUAUUAAUCUUAUCACCUGCCUCUCGACCCCCAGCGUCUACGUCACACGCUACAAGCUUGGCACACCUGUAUUUGGGUAGUUUCUCCCAUUCUUCUCUGUAGAUCCUCUCAAGCUCUGUCAGGUUGGAUGGGGAUCGUCGCUGCACAGCUAUUUUCAGGUCUCUCCAGAGAUGUUUGAUUGGGUUCUAGUCCGGCUCUGGCUGGGCCACUCAAGGACAUUCAGAGACUUUCCCCGAAGCCACUCCUGUAUUUUCUUGGCUGUGUACUUAGGGUCGUUGUCAUGUUGGAAUGUGAACCUUCACCCCAGUCUGAGGUCCUUGGCACUCUGGAGCAGGUUUUCAUGAAGGAUCUCUCUGUACUUUGCUCCGUUCAUAUUUCCCUCGAUCCUGACUAGUCUCCCAGUCCCUGCCACUGAAAAACAUCCCCACAGCAUGAUGCUGCCACCACCAUGCUUCACCGUAGGGAUGGUGCCAGGUUUCCUACAGAUGUGACACUUGGCAUUCAGGCCAAAGAGUUCACUCUUGGUUUCAUCAGACCAGAGAAUCUUGUUUCUCAUGGUCUGAGAUACCUUUAGGUGCCUUUUGGCAAACUCCAAGGGGGCUGUCAUGUGCCUUUUACUGAGGAGUGGCUUCCAUCUGGCCUCUCUACCAUAAAGACAUGAUUGGUGGAGUGCUGCAGAGAUGAUUGUCCUUCUGGAAGGUUCUCCCAUCUCCACAGAGGAACUCUUGAGCUCUGUCAGAGUGACCAUCGGGUUCUAGGUCACCCCUCUAACCAACGCCCCCCGGUUGCUCAGUUUUCCUAGAGCUGGCUGCCCGACCAGAGUCUUGGUGGUUCAAACUUCUUCCAUUUAAGAAUGAUGGAGCCCACUGUGUUCUUGAGGACCUUCAAUUCUGCAUACAGUUUUUGGUACCCUUCCCCAGAUCUGUGCCUCGACACAAUCCUGUCUCAGAGCUCUACUGACAAUUCCUAUGACCUCAUGUCUUGGUUUUUGCUCUGACAUGCACUGUAGGACCUUAUAUAGACAGGUGUGUGCCUUUCCAAAUCAUGUCCAAUCAAUUGAAUUUACCACAGGUGGGAUCCAAUUAAGUUGUAGAAACAUCUCAAGGAUGAUCAAUGGAAACAGGAUGCACCUGAGCUCAAUUUCGAGUCUCAUAGCAAAAGGUAUGAAUACUAAUGUCAAUAAGUUAUUUCUCUUUUUUUAAAUAAAAGGAUGGUUUAUUGUGUGUAGAUUGCCUAGGAUUUUUUCUAAAUCCAUUUUAGAUUAAGGCUGUAACGUAACAAAAGGUGGAAAAAGUCAAGGGGUCUGAAUACUUUCCGAAGGCACAGUAUAUUUAUCUCUGGAAUACAGUUUAAAGUAUUACAUACAUUUUAAAAUGUAUUUGAAAUACAUUUUACAUGAUGUUAAAUAUACUGAACAAAUAUAUAAACUCAACAUAUAGAGUGUUGGUCCCAUGUUUCAUGAGCUGAAAUAAAAGAUCCCAGACAUGUUCCAUAAGAACAAAAAGCUUAAUUCUCACAUUUUGUGCAAACAUUUGUUUACAUCCCUGUUAGUGAGCAUUUCUCCUUUGCCAAAAUAAUCCAUCCACCUGACAGGUGGGGCAUAUCAAGAAGAUGAUUAAACACAUGAUCAUUCCACAGGUGCACCUCGAGCUGAUGACAAUAAAAGGCCACUCUAAAAUGUUCAGUUUUGUCACACAACAGAAAGCCACUGAUGUCUCAAGUUUUGCCAGAGAAUUUAAUGUUUUUUCUCUCCAAAAUCAUUUGACAGAAAUUGGCGUUACGUCCAUCAAGCCUCACAACCGCAGACCACAUGUAACUACGCCAGUCCAGGACCUCAACAUCCGGCUUCUUCACCUGCGGGAUCAUCUGAGAUCAGCCAACUGUACAGCUAACGACUCUGAGGAGUAUUUCUGUCUGUAAUAAAGCCCUUUUGUGGGGAAAACUA